This 63-nucleotide small RNA is filed under the name Arabidopsis thaliana (thale cress). RNAcentral's name for it is "ATSL019490". The record is from RNAcentral. Lineage: Eukaryota; Viridiplantae; Streptophyta; Magnoliopsida; Brassicales; Brassicaceae.
UCCGAAGUAGUUGACAGAAGAGAGAGAGCACUGUAGAAAUCAUGAGAUUCAUGGAGGCCUCCU